This 1052-nucleotide ribosomal RNA is filed under the name Microbacterium arthrosphaerae. Its description in RNAcentral is "bacterial SSU rRNA". It matches the Rfam family "Bacterial small subunit ribosomal RNA", at positions 371 to 1433 of the family's 1533-position model. The record is from RNAcentral. Lineage: Bacteria; Bacillati; Actinomycetota; Actinomycetes; Micrococcales; Microbacteriaceae.
AUGGGCGGAAGCCUGAUGCAGCAACGCCGCGUGAGGGAUGACGGCCUUCGGGUUGUAAACCUCUUUUAGCAAGGAAGAAGCGUGAGUGACGGUACUUGCAGAAAAAGCGCCGGCUAACUACGUGCCAGCAGCCGCGGUAAUACGUAGGGCGCAAGCGUUAUCCGGAAUUAUUGGGCGUAAAGAGCUCGUAGGCGGUUUGUCGCGUCUGCUGUGAAAUCCCGAGGCUCAACCUCGGGCCUGCAGUGGGUACGGGCAGACUAGAGUGCGGUAGGGGAGAUUGGAAUUCCUGGUGUAGCGGUGGAAUGCGCAGAUAUCAGGAGGAACACCGAUGGCGAAGGCAGAUCUCUGGGCCGUAACUGACGCUGAGGAGCGAAAGGGUGGGGAGCAAACAGGCUUAGAUACCCUGGUAGUCCACCCCGUAAACGUUGGGAACUAGUUGUGGGGUCCUUUCCACGGAUUCCGUGACGCAGCUAACGCAUUAAGUUCCCCGCCUGGGGAGUACGGCCGCAAGGCUAAAACUCAAAGGAAUUGACGGGGACCCGCACAAGCGGCGGAGCAUGCGGAUUAAUUCGAUGCAACGCGAAGAACCUUACCAAGGCUUGACAUACACGAGAACACCCUAGAAAUAGGGGACUCUUUGGACACUCGUGAACAGGUGGUGCAUGGUUGUCGUCAGCUCGUGUCGUGAGAUGUUGGGUUAAGUCCCGCAACGAGCGCAACCCUCGUUCUAUGUUGCCAGCACGUAAUGGUGGGAACUCAUGGGAUACUGCCGGGGUCAACUCGGAGGAAGGUGGGGAUGACGUCAAAUCAUCAUGCCCCUUAUGUCUUGGGCUUCACGCAUGCUACAAUGGCCGGUACAAAGGGCUGCAAUACCGUGAGGUGGAGCGAAUCCCAAAAAGCCGGUCCCAGUUCGGAUUGAGGUCUGCAACUCGACCUCAUGAAGUCGGAGUCGCUAGUAAUCGCAGAUCAGCAACGCUGCGGUGAAUACGUUCCCGGGUCUUGUACACACCGCCCGUCAAGUCAUGAAAGUCGGUAACACCUGAAGCCGGUGG